AUUGAACGCUGGCGGCAGGACUAACACAUGCAAGUCGAGCGAGCGGCGGACGGGUGAGUAAUGUAUGGGGCCUGCCAGAUUGAGGGGGAUAACUACUGUAAACGGUGGCUAAUACCGCAUAAUGUCUGCUAACCCAUAUGGGAUUAGCUAGUAGGUAAGGUAAUGGCUUACCUAGGCGACGAUCCCUCGAUGGUCUGAGAGAAAGUUCAGCCACACUGGGACUGAGACACGGCCCAGACGCCUACGGAGGCACCAGUGGGGAAUAUUGCACGAUGGGCGCAAGCCAAAUGCAGCCAUGCCGCGUGUAUGAAGAAGGCCCUAGAGUUGUAAAGUACGUUCAGUCGGGUGGCGUGACCGACAGAAGAAGCACCGGCUAACUCCGUGCCAGCAGCCGCGGUAAUUC
This 403-nucleotide ribosomal RNA is filed under the name uncultured bacterium. RNAcentral describes it as "partial 16S ribosomal RNA". It matches the Rfam family "Bacterial small subunit ribosomal RNA", at positions 30 to 526 of the family's 1533-position model. The record is from RNAcentral.